Long non-coding RNA from Cataglyphis hispanica, 398 nucleotides. RefSeq lists it as uncharacterized. The record is from RefSeq and is a predicted model, not a curated record. The transcript is spliced from 2 exons. NCBI's taxonomy places the organism in Eukaryota, Metazoa, Arthropoda, Insecta, Hymenoptera, Formicidae.
AUAAGAUGUAGCAGGUUAUGUCCAAAUAUAUAUAAUGUACACAAUUUUAUUUUAAAGUUUAAUCGCGAGAUAAACUGUUCGACGGAACAAUCCGCAGUAAUUUUUAUCACUUGUUCGCGAUACACAAUUUAAUAUUUCAAUUAUUUAAUUUUGUCACAAUAACUAUCGACUUCAAGAAUUUGUGUUAAUGGCAAGGCAUAUGAGAGGUCGAGUUGCUACACUAAUAAGGCCAGCUCGCAAUGCAUCAAGUGUUAAGAAUCCAGGUUGAGAACACAAUGGACAUGCUAAGAGUCGUGCGCACAUUUUGUUGAUUAUAGAAUUUAUAUUUAAUAUAUAUUGUUAUUGUAAUUAUAUUGUUAUGUAUUUAUAUUGUUUUAAUUAUAUAUUAUAUAAAUAUU